Molecule: long non-coding RNA, 207 nt
Organism: Vidua macroura (Pin-tailed whydah)
Lineage: Eukaryota; Metazoa; Chordata; Aves; Passeriformes; Viduidae
Exons: 2
Source: RefSeq, a predicted model, not a curated record
AGCACUUGGAGAACUGAACCUGUGAGAACAGAUCACAUGGGCCCCUGCCAUCUAAAUCCCAACUCUAAGGGCUUUUCAAAUGAAAAGGAAGGAAACUUGCAGCGAAACAAUCGAGGAAGCAGAAGAGAUGACCAGGACCACUUCAGGAUUACUUCCUCCAAAGGCAGCUUGGAGCUGGACUCACAAUAAAAGUCCUAUACACCCUCA